Molecule: ribosomal RNA, 774 nt
Filed under: uncultured Neocallimastigales
Lineage: Eukaryota; Fungi; Neocallimastigomycota; Neocallimastigomycetes; Neocallimastigales
Description: partial large subunit ribosomal RNA
Rfam family: Eukaryotic large subunit ribosomal RNA
Source: RNAcentral
GUAGUCUCGCACAGAUGCAUAUCAAUAAGCGGAGGAAAAGAAACUAACAAGGAUUCCCCUAGUAACGGCGAGUGAAGCGGGAAGAGCUCAAAUUUGAAAUCUUAAAGGGUUUCCCUUUACGAAUUGUAGUUUAAAGAAGUGUUUUCUGUUGAGGUUUUGGUAAAAGUUCUUUGGAAUAGGACAUCAUAGAGGGUGAGAAUCCCGUAUUUGACCUUUACUUUCAACUUUGUGAUACACUUUCAAAGAGUCGGAUUGUUUGGGAAUGCAGUCCAAAAUGGGUGGUAAAUUUCAUCUAAAGCUAAAUAUUGGCGAGAGACCGAUAGCGAACAAGUACCGUGAGGGAAAGAUGAAAAGAACUUUGAAAAGAGAGUUAAACAGUACGUGAAAUUGUCAAAAGGGAAGCGUUUGACACCAGUGUUGUUUUUCUGAAAAUCAAUUAAAGAACUGUUUAUGCUAAGUUGUUUAGACUUUAUCAGCUAUCUGUUUAGUUUUGAGCUUUUCUUUAAUGCACUUUUCAGUUAACAAGUCAACAUCAAUUUCUUUUGCUGUAAAAAAGCUUGAGGAAGGUGGCUUGAGAUUCGUCUUAAGUGUUUAUAGCCUCUUGCCUAUGCAGUCGGAGAGAUUGAGGUCUGCAGCGUAGAUCCUUCGGGGCUAAAUGCAUUUGUGCUAAGUUAUAGCAUUUUAUAGACAACUUGUUGACUAUGAUUUGUCUUGUAGCUUACUCGCCUAUGUUAUUUUACCUACGCUUAGGAUGUUGAUCUGUAGUGCGUGCGC